UGGGGAAUCUUGCACAAUGGGCGAAAGCCUGAUGCAGCCAUGCCGCGUGAAUGAUGAAGGCCUUAGGGUUGUAAAAUUCUUUCGCCAGGGAUGAUAAUGACAGUACCUGGUAAAGAAGCCCCGGCUAACUUCGUGCCAGCAGCCGCGGUAAUACGGAGGGGGCAAGCGUUGUUCGGAAUUACUGGGCGUAAAGGGCGCGUAGGCGGUCUGUCGCGUCAGGUGUGAAAGCCCCGGGCUCAACCUGGGAGGUGCACUUGAUACGGGCGGACUGGAAUCCGGGAGAGGAUGGUGGAAUUCCCAGUGUAGAGGUGAAAUUCGUAGAUAUUGGGAAGAACACCGAUGGCGAAGGCAGCCAUCUGGCCCGGGAUUGACGCUGAGGCGCGAAAGCGUGGGGAGCAAACAGGAUUAGAUACCCCCGUAGUCC
Molecule: ribosomal RNA, 424 nt
Filed under: uncultured prokaryote
Description: bacterial SSU rRNA
Rfam family: Bacterial small subunit ribosomal RNA
Source: RNAcentral